UACGAAGGGGGCUAGCGUUGCUCGGAAUCACUGGGCGUAAAGGGUGCGUAGGCGGGUCUUUAAGUCCGGGGUGAAAUCCUGGAGCUCAACUCCAGAACUGCCUUUGAUACUGAAGAUCUUGAGUCCGGGAGGGGUGAGUGGAACUGCGAGUGUAGAGGUGAAAUUCGUAGAUAUUCGCAAGAACACCAGUGGCGAAGGCGGCUCACUGGCCCGGUACUGACGCUGAGGCACGAAAGCGUGGGGAGCAAACAGG
This 253-nucleotide ribosomal RNA is filed under the name uncultured bacterium. Its description in RNAcentral is "partial 16S ribosomal RNA". It matches the Rfam family "Bacterial small subunit ribosomal RNA", at positions 524 to 776 of the family's 1533-position model. The record is from RNAcentral.